Molecule: ribosomal RNA, 363 nt
Filed under: uncultured bacterium
Lineage: Bacteria
Description: bacterial SSU rRNA
Rfam family: Bacterial small subunit ribosomal RNA
Source: RNAcentral
AACGAACGCUGGCGGCAGGCCUAACACAUGCAAGUCGAGCGCCCCGCAAGGGGAGCGGCGGACGGGUGAGUAACGCGUGGGAACAUACCCUUUGGUACGGAAUAGCCUCGGGAAACUGGGAGUAAUACCGUAUGUGCCCUUCGGACCAAAGAUUUAUCGGCAAAGGAUGAGCCCGCGUAGGAUUAGGUAGUUGGUGGGGUAAAGGCCUACCAAGCCGACGAUCCUUAGCUGGUCUGAGAGGAUGAUCAGCCACACUGGGACUGAGACACGGCCCAGACUCCUACGGAGGCAGCAGUGGGAAUAUUGGACAAUGGGCGAAAGCCUGAUCCAGCAAUGCCGCGUGAGUGAUGAAGGCCUUCGGUC